UACGGAGGGUGCAAGCGUUAACCGGAAUCAAUGGGUUUAAAGGGUGCGUAGGCGGCUUUGUAAGUCAGGGGUGAAAGCCCGCAGCUUAACUGCGGAACUGCCUUUGAUACUGCAGAGCUUGAAAGAGGUUGAGGUCAGCGGAACGUGACAUGUAGCGGUGAAAUGCAUAGAUAUGUCACAGAACACCAAUUGCGAAGGCAGCUGGCUGGGCUUACUUUGACGCUGAGGCACGAAAGCGUGGGGAGCGAACAGG
Molecule: ribosomal RNA, 253 nt
Filed under: uncultured bacterium
Lineage: Bacteria
Description: partial 16S ribosomal RNA
Rfam family: Bacterial small subunit ribosomal RNA
Source: RNAcentral